Molecule: transfer RNA, 71 nt
Rfam family: tRNA
About the family: Transfer RNA (tRNA) molecules are approximately 80 nucleotides in length. Their secondary structure includes four short double-helical elements and three loops (D, anti-codon, and T loops).
Source: Rfam
GCGGACGUAGUUUAAUGGUAAAACUGCAGCUUCCCAAGCUGCUGUCGCGGGUUCGAUUCCCGUCGUCCGCU